CUCCAAUAGCGUAUAUUAAAGCUGUUGCGGUUAAAAAGCUCGUAGUUGGAUUUCUGUCAAGUACAACUGGUCCGCCUCUGGGUGAGCACAUAGUUUGGUCUUGGCAUCUUGCUGGAACUGUUGCUGCACUUGGCUGUGUGGCGCAGUGUCCAGCACUUUCACUUGAGGAAUUGGAGUGUUUCAAGCAGGCAAUGCCUUUG
This 200-nucleotide ribosomal RNA is filed under the name uncultured eukaryote. Its description in RNAcentral is "partial 18S ribosomal RNA". It matches the Rfam family "Eukaryotic small subunit ribosomal RNA", at positions 589 to 797 of the family's 1831-position model. The record is from RNAcentral.